This 619-nucleotide long non-coding RNA is filed under the name Manihot esculenta (cassava). Its description in RNAcentral is "long non-coding RNA (MESC_LNC008282)". Lineage: Eukaryota; Viridiplantae; Streptophyta; Magnoliopsida; Malpighiales; Euphorbiaceae. The record is from RNAcentral.
UUAUUUGCAGCUAUAAAUGUUGAAAAGAUGAAGCCGCUUAGUACAUUAAGGAAAUGGCAACCAAUAAAAUUAUGUUUCUGUGGCAGGUUUUCUUGAUUUUCAUGGUGCUCUUGGCCUCUGCAAUGGGAGUGAGGGAUCUGCUACAGUCUUCCAAGCCUCAUGUGACUGGUAAGUUCCUGCCUCUAUUGGCUCCUCAUUAACUCAUAGUUACAACUUUCAGGUUUUGCAGAUUUUGUUAUGGCGUGCACACAUAUGAAGUUGCAGAAGGAAUUUAUUAUGAAUUUUUUUUUUUUUCUUUCUUGUUUUUUGCAGUUAAGGCGAUGGAUAAACCUUGGGGUAAUAAUUACAGGGCUAAGCCUCCUCCUGCUGCUCAUUAACUCCUUUUAAUGCAAUCUUGCCAUGGAAAAUCCCAUAGUUUUAAGAUAUCGUUUGGUUCAAAUUAAUUUAUUUUCUUAAAAGUUAAUUGUUGAUAAAUAUAUUUUUUGAGAAGUUCAAUUCUCAAAAAAUAUGAAUUAAUAUGUUUGGUUGCUAUAUUAAACUUUCGAAAAAUAAAAUUAUGUUAGUGAAAGUUAAUAAUAAAAAUAACAUAAAUACUUCUACUUCAAUGUAAAAUACUCAU